This 381-nucleotide long non-coding RNA is filed under the name Elaeis guineensis (African oil palm). RNAcentral's name for it is "long non-coding RNA (EGUI_LNC012709)". The record is from RNAcentral. Lineage: Eukaryota; Viridiplantae; Streptophyta; Magnoliopsida; Arecales; Arecaceae.
UCCACCCCCAGAGGGUCCCUAUCUCCGUUCUACCAGAAGAUCCUCGAGACUUACAGUUGGGAGGACCUCCUGGAUCAAAGAUUCUAAGAAACGAACAGGCGGACCGAGGAGCUCAUCGACGAGGUCAGCUUGACAGAUUCAUCUGACACCGAUCUGAAGGUAGGGAGGAUCGAUCGAGGGUCCUACCACAGCCAGAGCCGCCAAGGAGGGAGGAACAGCCUGAAGAUCGACCUCCAAUCGGGAUCGUCAACACCAUCUCUGGAGGACCCCGAUGGGGAGCAGCCAGUGGAUCGGCCGUACUGCCCAAGCGACAGAGGACUGAAGAGUCUAUAACCUUUACUGAAGAAGAUACCCGGGAGGUUCAAUUUUCACAUAAUGAUG